This 421-nucleotide ribosomal RNA is filed under the name uncultured cyanobacterium. RNAcentral's name for it is "bacterial SSU rRNA". It matches the Rfam family "Bacterial small subunit ribosomal RNA", at positions 51 to 517 of the family's 1533-position model. The record is from RNAcentral. Lineage: Bacteria; Bacillati; Cyanobacteriota.
ACACAUGCAGUCGAACGGUCUUUUAGGAGACAGUGGCGGACGGGUGAGUAACGCGUAAGAAUCUACCUUCAGGUUGGGGACAACCACUGGAAACGGUGGCUAAUACCGAAUGUGCCGAGAGGUGAGAGGCUUGCUGCCUGAAGAAGAGCUUGCGUCUGAUUAGCUAGUUGGUAGUGUAAGAGACUACCAAGGCGACGAUCAGUAGCUGGUCUGAGAGGAUGAUCAGCCACACUGGGACUGAGACACGGCCCAGACUCCUACGGGAGGCAGCAGUGGGGAAUUUUCCGCAACGGGCGAAAGCCUGACGGGAGCAAUACCGCGUGAGGGAGGAAGGCUCUUGGGUUGUAAACCUCUUUUCUCAGGGAAGACAGAAUGACGGUACCUGAGGAAUAAGCAUCGGCUAACUCCGUGCCAGCAGCCG